AUGGUAGAUGACUAAUUGGUUUGUCGCUCCCUUUGGGUGGGAGACAUAUAGCGUGUUCGAGUCGCGCCUACCAUA
RNAcentral lists this transfer RNA (75 nucleotides) under Heterobasidion annosum. RNAcentral describes it as "tRNA-Pro". The record is from RNAcentral. RNAcentral also lists the same sequence under 4 other names. Lineage: Eukaryota; Fungi; Basidiomycota; Agaricomycetes; Russulales; Bondarzewiaceae.